AACGCUGGCGGCAGGCCUAACACAUGCAAGUCGAACGGUAACAUUUCUAGCUUGCUAGAAGAUGACGAGUGGCGGACGGGUGAGUAAUGCUUGGGAACUUGCCUUUGCGAGGGGGAUAACAGUUGGAAACGACUGCUAAUACCGCAUAAUGUCUUCGGACCAAACGGGGCUUCGGCUCCGGCGCAAAGAGAGGCCCAAGUGAGAUUAGCUAGUUGGUAAGGUAACGGCUUACCAAGGCGACGAUCUCUAGCUGUUCUGAGAGGAAGAUCAGCCACACUGGGACUGAGACACGGCCCAGACUCCUACGGGAGGCAGCAGUGGGGAAUAUUGCACAAUGGGGGAAACCCUGAUGCAGCCAUGCCGCGUGUGUGAAGAAGGCCUUCGGGUUGUAAAGCACUUUCAGUUGUGAGGAAAAGUUAGUAGUUAAUACCUGCUAGCCGUGACGUUAACAACAGAAGAAGCACCGGCUAACUCCGUGCCAGCAGCCGCGGUAAUACGGAGGGUGCGAGCGU
This 512-nucleotide ribosomal RNA is filed under the name uncultured bacterium. Its description in RNAcentral is "bacterial SSU rRNA". It matches the Rfam family "Bacterial small subunit ribosomal RNA", at positions 32 to 541 of the family's 1533-position model. The record is from RNAcentral.